GGGACACGUGGUAUCCUGUCUGAAUAUGGGGGGACCAUCCUCCAAGGCUAAAUACUCCUGACUGACCGAUAGUGAACCAGUACCGUGAGGGAAAGGCGAAAAGAACCCCGGCGAGGGGAGUGAAAAAGAACCUGAAACCGUGUACGUACAAGCAGUGGGAGCCUCUUAAUGGGGUGACUGCGUACCUUUUGUAUAAUGGGUCAGCGACUUAUAUUCUGUAGCAAGGUUAACCGAAUAGGGGAGCCGAAGGGAAACCGAGUCUUAACUGGGCGUUAAGUUGCAGGGUAUAGACCCGAAACCCGGUGAUCUAGCCAUGGGCAGGUUGAAGGUUGGGUAAC
Molecule: ribosomal RNA, 338 nt
Filed under: Escherichia coli
Lineage: Bacteria; Pseudomonadati; Pseudomonadota; Gammaproteobacteria; Enterobacterales; Enterobacteriaceae
Description: partial 23S ribosomal RNA
Rfam family: Bacterial large subunit ribosomal RNA
Source: RNAcentral